This 1429-nucleotide ribosomal RNA is filed under the name Lactiplantibacillus plantarum. RNAcentral's name for it is "bacterial SSU rRNA". It matches the Rfam family "Bacterial small subunit ribosomal RNA". The record is from RNAcentral. Lineage: Bacteria; Bacillati; Bacillota; Bacilli; Lactobacillales; Lactobacillaceae.
GCAGUCGAACGAACUCUGGUAUUGAUUGGUGCUUGCAUCAUGAUUUACAUUUGAGUGAGUGGCGAACUGGUGAGUAACACGUGGGAAACCUGCCCAGAAGCGGGGGAUAACACCUGGAAACAGAUGCUAAUACCGCAUAACAACUUGGACCGCAUGGUCCGAGUUUGAAAGAUGGCUUCGGCUAUCACUUUUGGAUGGUCCCGCGGCGUAUUAGCUAGAUGGUGGGGUAACGGCUCACCAUGGCAAUGAUACGUAGCCGACCUGAGAGGGUAAUCGGCCACAUUGGGACUGAGACACGGCCCAAACUCCUACGGGAGGCAGCAGUAGGGAAUCUUCCACAAUGGACGAAAGUCUGAUGGAGCAACGCCGCGUGAGUGAAGAAGGGUUUCGGCUCGUAAAACUCUGUUGUUAAAGAAGAACAUAUCUGAGAGUAACUGUUCAGGUAUUGACGGUAUUUAACCAGAAAGCCACGGCUAACUACGUGCCAGCAGCCGCGGUAAUACGUAGGUGGCAAGCGUUGUCCGGAUUUAUUGGGCGUAAAGCGAGCGCAGGCGGUUUUUUAAGUCUGAUGUGAAAGCCUUCGGCUCAACCGAAGAAGUGCAUCGGAAACUGGGAAACUUGAGUGCAGAAGAGGACAGUGGAACUCCAUGUGUAGCGGUGAAAUGCGUAGAUAUAUGGAAGAACACCAGUGGCGAAGGCGGCUGUCUGGUCUGUAACUGACGCUGAGGCUCGAAAGUAUGGGUAGCAAACAGGAUUAGAUACCCUGGUAGUCCAUACCGUAAACGAUGAAUGCUAAGUGUUGGAGGGUUUCCGCCCUUCAGUGCUGCAGCUAACGCAUUAAGCAUUCCGCCUGGGGAGUACGGCCGCAAGGCUGAAACUCAAAGGAAUUGACGGGGGCCCGCACAAGCGGUGGAGCAUGUGGUUUAAUUCGAAGCUACGCGAAGAACCUUACCAGGUCUUGACAUACUAUGCAAAUCUAAGAGAUUAGACGUUCCCUUCGGGGACAUGGAUACAGGUGGUGCAUGGUUGUCGUCAGCUCGUGUCGUGAGAUGUUGGGUUAAGUCCCGCAACGAGCGCAACCCUUAUUAUCAGUUGCCAGCAUUAAGUUGGGCACUCUGGUGAGACUGCCGGUGACAAACCGGAGGAAGGUGGGGAUGACGUCAAAUCAUCAUGCCCCUUAUGACCUGGGCUACACACGUGCUACAAUGGAUGGUACAACGAGUUGCGAACUCGCGAGAGUAAGCUAAUCUCUUAAAGCCAUUCUCAGUUCGGAUUGUAGGCUGCAACUCGCCUACAUGAAGUCGGAAUCGCUAGUAAUCGCGGAUCAGCAUGCCGCGGUGAAUACGUUCCCGGGCCUUGUACACACCGCCCGUCACACCAUGAGAGUUUGUAACACCCAAAGUCGGUGGGGUAACCUUUUAGAACCAGC